This 438-nucleotide ribosomal RNA is filed under the name uncultured archaeon. Its description in RNAcentral is "bacterial SSU rRNA". It matches the Rfam family "Archaeal small subunit ribosomal RNA", at positions 15 to 458 of the family's 1478-position model. The record is from RNAcentral.
UGCCGGACCUGACUGCUAUCGGAUUGAUACUAAGCCAUGCGAGUCAUUGUAGCAAUACAAGGCAUACGGCUCAGUAACGCGUAGUCAACCUAACCUAUGGACGGGAAUAACCUCGGGAAACUGAGAAUAAUGCCCGAUAGAACAUUAUGCCUGGAAUGGUUUAUGUUCCAAAUGAUUUAUCGCCGUAGGAUGGGACUGCGGCCUAUCAGUUUGUUGGUGAGGUAAUGGCCCACCAAGACUAUUACAGGUACGGGCUCUGAGAGGAGUAGCCCGGAGAUGGGUACUGAGACACGGACCCAGGCCCUAUGGGGCGCAGCAGGCGAGAAAACUUUGCAAUGUGCGAAAGCACGACAAGGUUAAUCCGAGUGGUUUCUGCUAAAGAAACCUUUUGUCAGUCCUAGAAACACUGAUGAAUAAGGGGUGGGCAAGUUCUGGUGU